UAAAGAAAACGUAAAGCCAUUUGCCUUUACUCCUAUUCUCUGUAAUCGACGAUUAAGCAGCUAGGGUUGGUGACUAUCGAAGAUGACGAUUGAGCAAAGAAAAAGGGUUGAAACUGGCGAUUCAUCUUCGUUUCACUUCAGCCAUGGCUUCUCACGCCAGAAUUCUCCUUGUAAAAAAACAAAAGCUCAAAAAGAACAUUAAAGAAGACUUUGGAGCCUUCGUUGAGAAGCUUUAGCUUCUCCGUCCACCUUAACCUGCUCCUCCCAAGGCUUCUCAUCCUCUCACUUCUCUCACCUUCGUCGUCUCCGACAUAUUGAUAUUGAGGUUAUGUUACUGGUCUUGGCCAUCCGAAGUGGGCGACUACAAGCGGUGCAACUCUAGAACGAUGAUGGUGGUUUCGAAUCUAUGGAAGGAGGUGCCACUUGCAUUGGUAAAACGGUGGUGGAUGAACUAGCUUAUAGGCUGCAGCACAUGCUCGAGUUCUUGGUAGACCAUAUAGUGGAUUGUUUUAGGCAACUC
Molecule: long non-coding RNA, 520 nt
Organism: Pistacia vera
Lineage: Eukaryota; Viridiplantae; Streptophyta; Magnoliopsida; Sapindales; Anacardiaceae
Exons: 3
Source: RefSeq, a predicted model, not a curated record